GGCGCGCGACUCCUCCCGGGAGCGCGCACGUGGGAGGGAGAGGGCUCUGCUCCGACGCACGCGCACAGGCCGCCCCCGCCUCCUGCAUGCAUCUGCAGCUGCACAGUUUGUGUGGGAAUUGGCAUGAGUAGAGGGGGGCUAGGCUCAUAGUGGGAUUGUUUGCGAUAAGGAAGGAGGUAGCUAAGAGAAUUCGGGAUUUUUGCUUCCUCUCAAUCCCUCAGUUGUACCCUCCCUCCUAGUCAGCUAAAUGUGCACUGAGAUUUUAGCCUGAAUAAGUCCUUUUACAACUGACCGCAGGUGCCAGACCUAUGCCAUUGGAGGAGGGCAGGUGAAAAUAACCUAAAAUCGCCAGGCAAAGGAACGAAUGGCCCUCUAUUCCAGAGUACUUAGCCAGACAUCGUGGAGUCGACUGGGGGAAAAAAAUGAAAAUCUCUUGAGUCGGCAACUCCCAUAUCACAGAUAGGAAGGCUAGUGUCCUCAGAGAAUUGGAGACGCCCUCAAGGUCACAUGGCAUGACUAGAAUCCUUGAGUCAGGAAGGGUUAUUUGGGAUAUAAGAAACAAGCAAGGGCUGUGUGUGAGGAGGGGUAUGUUGCGAGGUGUUAGGGUGCAUACCUAGCAGCCAGGGAGGCCCUGGGUUCAUCACUAGCAUGGCAGAGGAAAGAAGGAAUAGGUGGAGAUUUAAGAAGCAUAGAGAGACAGCAAGGGCCACGGAGGAAACCUCUGAAGGAAGUCGUUGUCUGGAAAGGAGGACUUCUAGGUCAACCCGCUUUGACUGUCCUGAACUAGUUGGAUGAACUCAACCUCAUCUGACAGUGACAAUGCUCAUUCUCAGCAGGGUCCCAUCAGGUACCUUCUUGCUCUGUCCAGACCACCCGAGGAGUACCAGGCUCCUUCUGGGUUGCUUGGAAUAGUGGAAAACCCUCUUCCUCAUUCUUCAGCACUAGCUUUGAGCCACAGAUCCAUACACAGCCACAGUAUGGACUGGAUCUCCCCCUCCCCCACUUAAUUCAGAACUUGAAGUCCCAGAUAGCUGUUCUCAGUUUGCACUCAGUUCCGGCAAAAAAGGAAGGUCAAUGAAACGAGACUAGACCAACAUGUCUCACCAGAUAACCUACCGACUCCGUGACCAGAAGGUGGACUUGGACCCAACUGUUUUACAUCGAGUUAACCCUCAUUCUAACAGCGGAGUCAGAGUUGAGAGCUGUGUAUAAACUAGAAAGCCUUCUCUACUAUUUCUGGUUUCCUUGAAGCCAUUUGCCACCUGUGUCCUCAUUCAGAUCCAGGAAGGCCUGGGGCAAGGAAACAGUGGAUGGGAACCCAGAGUCCUGGCCUCCACUGAGGCACAACUACUACAGGUAGGGAGAUGGCCCCAUUCAUCACACUCCUCCAGCUCUUGUUUCCUUCCUUACAAAAUGGGACUUUAAAGUAUCUUUACAGAUGUGUUGUACAAAUUAGAAUUUCUCCUACUCCAGACCUGGCACAUGGUCAAUACUCAGUAAACAUUCAUUGAUUCGUUCAUUGAUAAAAUAUUUGUUGCCACCUGACUUUAUGGGAAGCUUAUACCUAACACUAGGAUGUGGAGGUGAGCAAGGCAGAAUCACCCAGAGUUCCAGACUAACUAUUGCAUGGAAAGGUUAGGGUAACAGCACCUGCCCAGAUGUCCAAGGUUUUCCAAAUUCUAGUCCUGGGCACAGCUGCUCUGACUCAGGGUUAGCCUGCUUCACAUCCUGGGAAGUGAAUAGUGAAGAUAUAAAGUUUCUGGAUGCUGGAAGAUUUGGGCUCUCACCUGGACCAUGGAUCUGCUGUGCAUUCAAUGGAUAUUGUAGCUCAUCUAGAGCAUAAGAUAAAUGAUACUGGGCAUGGUCUCAAACAUCAGUUAAUGUAAUCCCAGCCCUGGGGAGGAUGAAGCAGAAAGAUCAAGAGUUUGAAGCAGCUCAACUUAUCUACAGAGACCAGAUAGGUAGGUAGGUAGAUAGACAGACAGAAGAUGUGACAAAAAAGAAAGGAAAGUGAGACUGGAGAGACGGCUCAGUAGUUAAGAGCACUUAUUGCUCUUGCAGAGGGCUAAGGUUCAGUUUCCAGCGUAGCCACUCACAACCGACUGUAACUGUAGGCCCAGAGAAUCCAAUGCCAUUUUCUGGUCUCCGCAAGCCCCAGGUCUGCAUCUAGGGCACACACAUACAUGCAGGUAAAACACUUGUACACAUAAGCUGGCAAAUCUUUUUAAAUUUUUUAGUUUGCAGUGAGCUUCCUUAUGGUUUCUUCAAGCUGAUGUUUAGACAACCCUAUGACAUUAUUUUCUUCAUUUCUACAGUAAGAACCCUCAGACUCACAAGCUAUAAGUGACUUGCCCUUGUUAGGCUUCCAAGUUCACCCUGCACAUGAUCAGCACUAACCCUCGGACUGGGAUCCCAGGGUGAAUGAAAAGGGGCAAAGGAGGAAACAGGCUGAGCGCCAUCUUUAAUCUCUCCACGUACUGACUGCAGGUACAAUGUGACUGACCACCUCAUGCUCCCACUGACAUGACCUCCAGGACAAUCUGCAUCCCCUUAAAUCCUAAGCCAGAAUAAACCCUUCUUUGCUUAAGUUGCUGCUGUCAGAUGUUACAUCAUGAAACCAAAAUGGUGACUAAUGUCUCCAGGAAUAAAGCAGACUUGGAAGCAUAAAAUACAGGAUGGAGCAAGGGAUUUCUGCGAUCUGUGGAAAGUUGACUUAAAUGCCCCUUUUCCAACAAGUAUGGGAACUUGAAGGGAUUUGCUUCUGUAAUAGUAGUCAGCACACUGCUACCAGGAAGAUCUUAGGUUAUUGAAGGAAAUCUGUAGAGCAGUAUGCUCUGUGCCCUCAGAGGCAGAAUUAACAAAACUUUUUAGGUCUCAGGAAGGUGUUCCAGGCAGACCGAUCCAUGGAGGGAGGGAGCAUUUCCAUCCUGACGCUGUGCAACAGGUACUGACUCCUUUCCAUCAAAGAGACCGCACACGGAAUUCCUACUCUGGAAAGUUAUCGACAGCGAGCAUUUGUUGUACCUCCCUGCUUCAGACAUUGAAAUGAGUGUGCUUUUUACAUUGGUUUUUCUUUUGCUCUCACAACAUCCCCUCAUAGUACAUAGGACCCCAUUUUCAUAGACUGAGGCUCAAACAAGCAUAAAAUGAACUACCCAGAGUCACUGAGCUGGUAAAAGAGAACCAGCCCUCUGACUCUGAAGCAGUAGUAGGCACCUGGAGAGGUGAUCCCUGCUUGGGCCUCAGCAAGCCCAGCUGAAGGCACUACUGAAGAUGAUUGGGUUUGAGGAGCCCACUCUCAUUCCCCACAUUACUACCCUGGUCUCAUUCACCUUCCCUUUUCCCCACUGCCCUUUGUUCUCCUCCAGAUGGAUUCCCUCACCACAGCCCUCCAGGUAGCCUGGGGGCAGGUUACCUGUCUUCUCCAGUGAGCUCUCAAGACAGCAGAGACUUAAGCCCAGAGGCAAGUCCUUAAGGUGCAGGCAAUGGAAGAAGAAAUUUCCUGGUCAUUUGGGGCUCCUGCCCAUGAGUAUCACAGCUUAGGGCAUAAGGACAGGAGAUAUGGUUGGAGCUGGCAGACAGGUGAACUAAAGUUCUAACCAUAUCUUUGUUAGGUACUUGCUUCCAGACAUGUCACUUCAGCCUUGGUUUCCAUUUCUGCAGAAGGAUAAUAACAGAAUUCUUUUUCCUGUCUCCUUCUUAGGGGGACUGCUGUGCAGGCUAAAUGAACUGUCAGGUGUGUGGAAUAUGUAAAGAGCUGAGUAGGCAUGUCAGCGAAGGACUGCCAGUCUCGAUGCAACACAGAAGGCUGAGUGACUGUCUGUGUGGGGUGCCGAAUGGAGCUUCUACCAAUUGCUGCACUGUGAUUACAGCUCUGAAAACCAGGUAUCAAGGAACGGAACAGUCAGGAAACAUGCCUUUUGCAGUGGUAACCAGAAAGAAUGGCUAUCACCAUACCCUUCCCCUAAGUUCAUCCCCACGAACUCCUCCAGGUUGCCCUGGGUGCUGUCAUGUGGGUCUAAAGGCAGAAAAGUGGUGUCUCCAGGAGGGCAGGUGUAAAGGAAACAGCUUGAAGAAGGUUGGGAUCAUCAAGAAGAAAGCCACCAAGCUGGCAUGAAAUGAAGUCAUCAGGCGAUGUGGACUCUGCACAGCUUUCCGAGGAGCCACGGCACCGUGUCGCACAGUGGCUGCUCCAGCUUCCACUUCCCACCAAUGGCAGGCAACUUGAGGAAAGAGGGAGGAAGCCCAGAUCCUCAGGAAUCCUCCUCAGCUCUUCUACAAGUUCCCCUGCUGCCUGCCAUCUUCAGAAUCCCACCAUAAUCUCUUCCCCAAGACCACAGCACAAGACAUCACUAAAGAACUCCAUCCAGUGGGAGCCAGCCUGAGGGCAAAGUGGGUAAAGCUCUUCAGAUACAAGCUCGACGGCCUGAGCUCAUCUCUGGGACUCUGGUGGUUUAAAUGUGAGUGACUUCCAGAGGCUCAUAUAUUUAUUCCUUUUCAUUAAAAGUUAUUCUGUACGUAUAUUUUUACAUGGGAUCUUUGUCUGCAAAUAUGUUGGCACACCCAGAGAGAGCACUGGAUCCCACUAUAUAUAGUUGUAAUCUGCCACGUGGCUGCUGGAAUCAAACCUGUGUCCUCUGCAAGAACGAGUGCUCUUAACUGCUGAGCUAUCUCUCCAGCCCCAGUUGGUGGAACUGUUUGGGAAGGAUUAGGAGGUAUUGGGAUGGACUUUAAAAACCCAGGUCAUUUCCAGUAAGGAUGCUUGUCCCCAGGACUGACAACCUCAGUCAACCUGAGAAGGUGGAAGGAGAGAACUGAAUCCAAGUUGUUCUCUGACCACUUCACAUGUGACCUACACACAUACAAGAAACAAUUAAUAUAAAAAGAAUUUUAAUGACAACAACUUUUGCACAUAUUAAUUGGUUUUAUUUUUUAAUUUGAGAAUCAGAACAAAACAAUAAGUGAAAUACAAAAGGUUAGCAUUCUAGUCUGGUUUUUCUAUAGUGCUGAACCAAGCGCCAAGCAAGCACGCUACCCUGAGCUACAGCCCCAGCUAAGGCUAGUUUUAUAGAGAGGAAAAGGCUUGAAGAAAGCAGAAAGAAAACAUACAAAGUUACUUUCCUUCUGAAGUGGUUACAGGAAACAAAUAGAAAAAUAGCUGGUUAGUUAACAUCCGGGUUAUUUUAAGUUACUUCUUUUGUUUAGGGUUAAAUAGAGAAAACAUCAGUUUCUAUUGGCAUGCUUGGUAAGUCUGGCUACUUGCUAUCUUCCA
Rattus norvegicus (Norway rat) is the source of this 5272-nucleotide non-coding RNA. The record is from RefSeq and is a predicted model, not a curated record. Lineage: Eukaryota; Metazoa; Chordata; Mammalia; Rodentia; Muridae.